GUGAGGAAUAUUGGACAAUGGGCGCAAGCCUGAUCCAGCCAUGCCGCGUGCAGGAAGACGCAUCUAUGGUGUGUAAACUGCUUUUGUACGGGAAGAAACACUCCCUCGUGAGGGAGCUUGACGGUACCGUAAGAAUAAGGAUCGGCUAACUCCGUGCCAGCAGCCGCGGUAAUACGGAGGAUCCAAGCGUUAUCCGGAAUCAUUGGGUUUAAAGGGUCCGUAGGCGGUUUAAUAAGUCAGUGGUGAAAGCCCAUCGCUCAACGAUGGAUCGGCCAUUGAUACUGUUAGACUUGAAUUACAAGGAAGUAACUAGAAUAUGUAGUGUAGCGGUGAAAUGCUUAGAUAUUACAUGGAAUACCAAUUGCGAAGGCAGGUUACUACUUGUGGAUUGACGCUGAUGGACGAAAGCGUGGGGAGCGAACAGGAUUAGAAACCCGUGUAGUCC
Molecule: ribosomal RNA, 445 nt
Filed under: uncultured bacterium
Lineage: Bacteria
Description: partial 16S ribosomal RNA
Rfam family: Bacterial small subunit ribosomal RNA
Source: RNAcentral